This 124-nucleotide ribosomal RNA is filed under the name Beta vulgaris subsp. vulgaris (sugar beet). Lineage: Eukaryota; Viridiplantae; Streptophyta; Magnoliopsida; Caryophyllales; Amaranthaceae. The record is from RNAcentral.
GGGUGCAAUUAUACCAGGACUAAUGCACCGGAUCCCAUCAAAAUUCUAGAGUUAAGCGUGCUUGGGCGAGAGUAGUACUAGGAUAGGUGACCUCAUGGGAAAUCCUUGUAUCUAACUGCAUUUC